UGCGAGGCGGCGCGGUGCCCGAUUGAUCAGUCCGCGAGCGAGAUAGCUCGCUCGCGGCUAUAUAGGAGUGUUCCGUAGGAACGUUCGGGGCUCUCAAAGCAUUUUAGUUAGUUGCGUGAUGCUUAGUAGAGCCUGUUUUUGGAAAGUGAAGACUGUUCUUGUAGGUCAUAUAACACUCAGCACAAUGGAACAUUGAGAGUGUGACGUCCGGACUUAUCUUGAAACAUUAAUAAUAUAUUAGUAUAGAUCGGAGGCCGGACUUGUCUGAUUUCAAAUAUUCACUAUGUUAAAAUAUUCACCAGAAACGACAUGUCGUUAGAGAGUCUUAAAAUCGAUGGAAUCAACUAUAGACAAGAGAAACCAUUGUAAUCUCAAUGCGCAUAAGGCACCCCGCUGCUAACAUAAACAAAACAACAGGAGCAUGAAACCUUAAAUCCAAACACCACUCAGUACCGACGCGGUGGCAUCAUACCGAUGGAAUUAAUUUCUUCCAUCUCCAACGACUCCAUCAGCCAACCAAAAAACGACACUCUCAGCGACAAAGCAACGUAUAAAAACGCGCGCAUUCGUUGAGAAGUCUACCCCUCAUUUCUCGAACGUUGCGAAAUCGAAAUUGUAAUCGCGGACUGCACCAUUCCGCGCAGCGCCGGAACGCCCGAGACCGAGCCAGGAGAACGAGCGGCUCUGAUUUCUCACCAGAUUCAUCGAUCGUUUCGCCAGACUCCGAAGACCCAAGGUAAACUCGGUGAAAAGCAGAGUGACCUAAAAGCGGGAGUCAUCACUCUGUUGACCGUCCACAAGAGCGGCGGUACGACACCGGUCUUACUUACCAACCACGGGGAACACCCAACACAUACGCCGACGGCAAGGCGGGUCGUACGAACGAAUCCAGGCUUCCUUUGCGUCCGGCACGCCACAUCGCAGGCCAGGUGGUGCGUCGCUGGAGGUGGCGCACCACUAUGCACCUAAAUAAAUCAACUUACUUUCGUAUUUGCCACAACAAUGGAAAAAAAAAUGAAUUCCAUGUCAUCUAUAAAUAUUUUUAUUUGAAGAAGUUAAUCGCCGCGCAGAUUAAAGCCGAGUUGAAUGAAGUUCAUGAAGACUUUGCACCAGCAGCAUUGAAAACUGUUUAUUUCUGGAUAAAUGAGUUUAAAUAUGGCUGUAGAAAAUGCACUGAGGAGAACAUGAAUCGCGCCCCAGACGCCUAAUUGAAGUUACCACGGAGAAAAUCAUUGAAAAAAUCCAUGGUAUCGUGAUGGAAGAGACCGCCGAGUGCAUGUGCGUGAGAUUGCUACUAUAGACAUCUCAACUUAAAUGGGUACACGAUAUCCUACACGAAAAAUUGACUUUGAAAAAGCUGUCUGCGCGAUGAAUAUUGCGAUUGUUGACUGUCGAUAAUAAACGCACUCGAAUUGACAUUUUAAUGCAGUGUUUGGCGAUAUUUAAUCGCAAUUCGAAGAAUAUUUUUUGCGUCGAUUCGUCAUUGUGGACGAAAUUGGGAUCCACCAUUUCACGUCAGAGUCCAAACAGCAGUCAAAAUGGACAAUGACUGGUGAAAGUAUGUCGAAGACCAUUUUGUCGGCUGGGAAGGUGAUGUCACUAUUUUUUGAGAUUCUCAGAGAAACAUUAUGAUUGACCACUUGGAAAAGGGCAAGACAAUAACUAAUUUCGAAACCCAAUUCAUACAAUUUUACCAUUGCAAUAGUCGACGUAUGGCGAUGUACAGCGCAUUGUCCUAUUGAAAAAACACAUUUGCACACCAAUCUUAGCUGCUUUUUCUUCAAAUUUUUCAAACGAUCCAAUAAUGCCGCAUAAUAGUCACAUAUUGAAAAAUAAAAUUGAUUUUAUCU
Long non-coding RNA from Dinoponera quadriceps, 1850 nucleotides. RefSeq lists it as uncharacterized. The record is from RefSeq and is a predicted model, not a curated record. The transcript is spliced from 4 exons. Lineage: Eukaryota; Metazoa; Arthropoda; Insecta; Hymenoptera; Formicidae.